UACGGAGGGAGCGAGCGUUGUUCGGAAUUACUGGGCGUAAAGCGUGCGCAGGCGGUCUUAUAAGUCAGAAGUGAAAGCCCUGGGCUCAACCCAGGAAUUGCUUUUGAAACUGCAAGACUAGAGUAUCGGAGAGGUUGGCGGAAUUCCAAGUGUAGAGGUGAAAUUCGUAGAUAUUUGGAGGAACACCAGUGGCGUAAGCGGCCAACUAGACGAUAACUGACGCUCAGGCACGAAAGCGUGGGGAUCAAACAGG
RNAcentral lists this ribosomal RNA (253 nucleotides) under uncultured bacterium. Its description in RNAcentral is "partial 16S ribosomal RNA". It matches the Rfam family "Bacterial small subunit ribosomal RNA", at positions 524 to 776 of the family's 1533-position model. The record is from RNAcentral.